AGAGUUUGAUCCUGGCUCAGAACGAACGCUGGCGGCAUGCCUAACACAUGCAAGUCGCACGAGAAAGUUUCCUUCGGGAAACGAGUAAAGUGGCGCACGGGUGAGUAACACGUAGGUGACCUACCUAACGCUGGGGAACAACCCCGGGAAACCGGGGCUAAUUCCGCGUACGCUUUUCAGUCUGCGGAUUGAAAAGGAAAGAUGGCCUCUUCAUGAAAGCUAUCGGCGAUAGAUGGGCCUGCGGGUCAUUAGCUUGUUGGUGAGGUAACGGCUCACCAAGGCUACGAUGAUUAGCUGAUCUGAGAGGAUGAUCAGCCACACUGGAACUGGAACACGGUCCAGACUCCUACGGGAGGCAGCAGUGGGGAAUAUUGGGCAAUGGGCGAAAGCCUGACCCAGCAAUGCCGCGUGUGUGAUGAAGGCCCUUGGGUCGUAAAGCUCUGUCGAGAGGGACGAAAAUCUGGUGGGAACAAUACCCCACCAGUUUGACGGUACCUCCAAAGGAAGCACCGGCUAACUCCGUGCCAGCAGCCGCGGUAAUACGGAGGGUGCAAGCGUUGUUCGGAAUUACUGGGCGUAAAGGGCGUGGAGGCGGUUCGUUAAGUCAUGCGUGAAAGCCCUCGGCUUAACCCAGGAAGUGCGCCCGAAACCAUUGGUCUAGAGAUUCGGAGGGGAGCGGGGAAUUCCCAGUGUAGAGGUGAAAUUCGUAGAUAUUGGGAGGAACACCGGUGCCGAAGGGGCCGCUCUGGACGAAUACUGACGCUGAGACGCGAAAGCGUGGGUAGCAAACAGGAUUAGAUACCCUGGUAGUCCACGCUGUAAACGAUGAGCACUCGGUGCUGCGGGUAUUGACCCCUGCGGUGCCGACGCUAACGCAUUAAGUAUUCCGCCUGGGGAGUACGAUCGCAAGGUUGAAACUCAAAGGAAUUGACGGGGGCCCGCACAAGCGGUGGAGCAUGUGGUUUAAUUCGAUGCAACGCGAAAAACCUUACCUGGGCUUGAACUGCGGGGAAUCUCCCAGAGAUAGGAAUGUGCCCUUCGGGGAACCGCCACAGAGGUUCUGCAUGGCUGUCGUCAGCUCGUGUCGUGAGAUGUUAGGUUAAGUCCUGCAACGAGCGCAACCCCUGCCCUUAGUUGCUACCAGUUCGGCUGAGCACUCUAGGGGGACUGCCGGCGUUAAACUGGAGGAAGGUGGGGAUGACGUCAAGUCCUCAUGGCCUUUAUGCCCAGGGCUACACACGUACUACAAUGGCCGGUACAAAGGGUCGCAAUGCCGCGAGGUGGAGCUAAUCCCAAAAAGCCGGUCUCAGUUCGGAUUGGUCUCUGCAACUCGAGACCAUGAAGUUGGAAUCGCUAGUAAUCGCUGAUCAGCACGCAGCGGUGAAUACGUUCCCGGGCCUUGUACACACCGCCCGUCACACCACGAAAGCUGUUUAUACCAGAAGUGCGUGACCCAACCUUCGGGAGGGAGCGCCCCAAGGUAUGAGCGGUGAUUGGGGUGAAGUCGUAACAAGGUAACCG
This 1521-nucleotide ribosomal RNA is filed under the name uncultured prokaryote. RNAcentral describes it as "partial 16S ribosomal RNA". It matches the Rfam family "Bacterial small subunit ribosomal RNA". The record is from RNAcentral.